CGCUCAGCCCCAGCACCCGCUGCCUGCGAGCCUUUAACAUGGACCACACAUGCUCCCAAAAGCAGCCUUGAGCCACUUGGGCUGCACCAGGCCCAGGGACAACAAAAUGUGGGGCAGGUUUCUUCAGGUCUCCCUCUGUCUCACAGAGUGGUCCAGAGACAGGAUUAUUGCAGAAGAGCUCACCAUCACCUUGACAUCCAAGUGUCUGUUUGAAGACAAAAACUAGUGCAGAAGACACCAUUUUCCUUGGGUAAUCUGUUGUGAUC
Molecule: long non-coding RNA, 266 nt
Organism: Passer domesticus (house sparrow)
Lineage: Eukaryota; Metazoa; Chordata; Aves; Passeriformes; Passeridae
Exons: 3
Source: RefSeq, a predicted model, not a curated record